This 76-nucleotide transfer RNA is filed under the name Chloroflexota bacterium. RNAcentral describes it as "tRNA-Lys". It matches the Rfam family "tRNA". From Rfam's summary of the family: Transfer RNA (tRNA) molecules are approximately 80 nucleotides in length. RNAcentral also lists the same sequence under 2 other names. Lineage: Bacteria; Bacillati; Chloroflexota. The record is from RNAcentral.
GCCCCCGUAGCUCAGUGGCUAGAGCAGGGCCCUCUUAAGGCCAAGGUCCUAGGUUCGAAUCCUAGUGGGGGUACCA